RNAcentral lists this ribosomal RNA (216 nucleotides) under uncultured bacterium. RNAcentral's name for it is "partial 16S ribosomal RNA". It matches the Rfam family "Bacterial small subunit ribosomal RNA", at positions 524 to 740 of the family's 1533-position model. The record is from RNAcentral.
UACGGAGGGUGCGAGCGUUGUCCGGAAUCACUGGGCGUAAAGGGCGCGUAGGCGGCGCGGAAAGUCAACGGUGAAAGCUUGGGGCUCAACCCCGAGUCGGCCGUCGAUACUUCCGUGCUCGAGCACUGUAGAGGCAGGUGGAAUUCCGGGUGUAGCGGUGGAAUGCGUAGAGAUCCGGAAGACACCGGUGGCGAAGGCGGUUCACUGGGCCUGUAC